GGCUCCACCCAGUUGAGGCUGAGUCUUUAACAUCUGGGGCUACUAAAGACCACCUUGCCCAAAAAAAGGCCUCAAGGUAUCCCCACCUCAGUCCUCAGGCCAGUGAGGGGCCCAGAGACAACCACCUCCGGCCAGGGGGCUCUGCCCAGGUGCAGACAGCUGGGGAGGGGAGAAGGGGUGAGAACACAGGGCGGCCUGGCGGUCAACAGAGGCGAGGGCUUGCCCCCACCUCUGCCACCGGCUCAGUUGACAGCGUUCAUUAAUGCCAACAUCCCGUGUCACCUAACGGUCCAUCCACAAAGGAACAGCUUCGCUCCCAUCAGUCGCCAACGGCAGAAGCACCCACACCACCAGCAGCCCAGGGUCAGACGAGUCCAGCAGGGCCAGCAGACGCUGAGGUCUCGCUCAAGGCCUUUUCUGCAGGAGCCAGUUCUGCAGACAUCAAAGCAGGGCUGGGGGUGCAACUGUGUCAGCUCCCGCUCCCGGCAAGCGACCGGGCGGCAGCAAGAGGACAAAGGAGGCCUCGUGGAGCACAUUCAUCAACCGUCCGGCUCAUCAAACCCGGGGGCUCUCACGGCCCCGCCAACGGCCCGCUUCUCCCGUCAGCCCGGGCCCACCUCCGCCCCGCGAGGAGUGUGCACGGAGGCCAGGGACACCAGCGGCCACGUGGCGGCACACCCCCUGCACCACGGCAAGCUGCUACUCCGUCCCCAUCUGUCAUCCUCGGCGGGCACAGUGCUCUGGGGACGGUGCCCAGACCUGCUGCCAGCUCUCCUGAGCCGGGCAGGGGCUGAGAGCCAGCAGAGCUCCUUCCCCGAGCCCCGCCCCCACCAUCUCUGACCGAGGCGGCCGUCCAUCACUGCUCAGGGCGCGACCGGCUGACUUCACCCCUUGUAUCUGCCCAGGGGAGGGGAAUGCCCACUGACGAGGACAGGCAGGGACAGUCCCCGCCCUUCCCACAGCGGGCUCGGCACAGGCGGCUGGACGGACGGCCUGGCCGACAUCUGCAUAAACAAAGCUCCAGGAGCCCGGCCUGGUGGGGCCGCAUCGCCCUCGGCUCUCAGCCCUUGGGGGAGGUGAGGGGAGUAUGCAGAACCACCCCUGAGCGUUCCACCAGGCCAGGGAGGGUGCCCGCAGCUGGCCCCGGCAAGAAUGAAGUUCGGGUGCUUGGAGCGUGUUGCCCACGAGUCCAAGAGCUUCCUUCAGGGGCUGGCAGCAGCCACGCCCUCUGGGCCUGAGUGUGUGGGACACCAGUGCUCCCCACUCCCAGCCUCUGUCCCUGUGCGGCCCUCACCUGCCCUUCCAGCCCCGUCUCUCUCAUCGACUUCCUGCUAAGCCCGGCCCCCAGGCCUCCCCUCCCUAAGGAGCAGUUGUGACGCCAGUUGGAGGCAAGCUGAGCCCUGGGCCCCCAGGCCAGCCCACCACCUGCUGUCCCCACCCGCACUCUGCCUCCUCACAGCCCUCAAGCUCCCGAGGGCAGGCUCGGGAACUGGGUCAUCACACCGGUGUGCCACCGCCACGCGCCCAGACCUCCUCCCCACGGCCCACCCUGCCCCUCACCCUCCCUCUCAUCUGCUAUACAGACAUCCCCCCACCUCAAGGCCUGCACUGUCCCCCUGCCUGGACGUUCUUCCCUCGGCACACCCCAUCCAGGUCUCAGUCCGAACGCCUCCUCCCGCACAGGCUCCUGUGCCCACCGGGCUCAUGGACUCUGCCCCUGUCGGGCCCACCCCACCGUCCGAGGGGCCCCGACCAUGCCUCGGUCACAGGGCUCAGGCCAGCCUCGUUCUACCCCGGGAUACGGACACCCGGGCACUCUGCGGGGAACUGGCCAUGAAGACGUCUGCCAAGGCGUUCAGAGGCUCUCCCCACUCUGCACGGCUCCCCAAGUCCCCCCAUCAGGGCCUGAAGGCUGUGCUCAGGGACUCCCUCCACCCUGAAGUGCCUCAGGCAGGCGAACAGGGGCCCUGAGGUCAGUCAGUGCCAAGGACGAUCCCAGCGAUGAAGGAUCCGGGCGACAGACGGACGGUGAAACCCGAGACCCCUGCCCGGUCCCAGCGGUGCGGGCUG
RNAcentral lists this long non-coding RNA (2070 nucleotides) under Homo sapiens (human). RNAcentral describes it as "HSALNT0383994". The record is from RNAcentral. Lineage: Eukaryota; Metazoa; Chordata; Mammalia; Primates; Hominidae.